RNAcentral lists this long non-coding RNA (197 nucleotides) under Cavia porcellus (domestic guinea pig). RNAcentral's name for it is "lncRNA (ENSCPOG00000032822.1)". Lineage: Eukaryota; Metazoa; Chordata; Mammalia; Rodentia; Caviidae. The record is from RNAcentral.
CCUCAACGUACUAAAAGUUCCUCUAUCUGAACUACUGAGGCAGCUAACACUCUGAAUCCAACCUGGUCUGUGCUGCAGACCCUGCCUCUCGGAACAUGAAAAUAUAAGGAUGAACUGCUCAGAACACGGGUGCUUCCCUACGUCGCUGCUCUGCACGGUGCUGAUGCCUAAUUUCUCCUCGCAACCAUCCCACAAAG